Molecule: ribosomal RNA, 420 nt
Filed under: Entamoeba histolytica
Lineage: Eukaryota; Evosea; Mastigamoebida; Endamoebidae
Description: bacterial SSU rRNA
Rfam family: Eukaryotic small subunit ribosomal RNA
Source: RNAcentral
UUUCUAGAUCUGAGUAUAUCAAUAUUACCUUGUUCAGAACUUAAAGAGAAAUCUUGAGUUUAUGGACUUCAGGGGGAGUAUGGUCACAAGGCUGAAACUUAAAGGAAUUGACGGAAGGGCACACCAGGAGUGGAGCCUGCGGCUUAAUUUGACUCAACACGGGAAAACUUACCAAGACCGAACAGUAGAAGGAAUGACAGAUUAAGAGUUCUUUCAUGAUUUAUUGGGUAGUGGUGCAUGGCCGUUCUUAGUUGGUGGAGUGAUUUGUCAGGUUAAUUCCGGUAACGAACGAGACUGAAACCUAUUAAUUAGUUUUCUGCCUAUAAGACAGAAAUGUUCGCAAGAACAGGUGCGUAAGUACCACUUCUUAAAGGGACACAUUUCAAUUGUCCUAUUUUAAUUGUAGUUAUCUAAUUUCGG